RNAcentral lists this ribosomal RNA (333 nucleotides) under uncultured bacterium. RNAcentral's name for it is "bacterial SSU rRNA". It matches the Rfam family "Bacterial small subunit ribosomal RNA", at positions 335 to 655 of the family's 1533-position model. The record is from RNAcentral.
ACUCCUACGGGAGGCAGCAGUGGGGAAUGAUUGCACAAUGGGGGAAACCCUGAUGCAGCCAUGCCGCGUGUGUGAAGAAGGCCUUCGGGUUGUAAAGCACUUUCAGUAGGGAGGAAGGUAGUGUAGUUAACACCUUGCACUAUUUUGACGUUACCUACAGAAGAAGCACCGGCUAACUCCGUGCCAGCAGCCGCGGUAAUACGGAGGGUGCGAGCGUUAAUCGGAAUUAACUGGGCGUAAAGCGCAUGCAGGCGGCCUGUUAAGUCAGAUGUGAAAGCCCGGGGCUUAACCUCGGAAUUGCAUUUGAAACGUGGUAGGCUAGAGUCUUGUAGA